GUGUGAGGACUGGAGUUCCCCGGGCCGCGUCGGCUCCUCCUCGGCCCGGCGGGCCCCGGCAACACGCCUCGGGUCUGUCACGACGCCUGAGGAAAAUCCUCCGUGACAGGAAUGGGGAGGCUGGUGACACUGGGGAGGGGCCCUUUGGCCACCGCUUCCAUCAGAGUCUAGGCAACUUGACCGGCAUUUCACCCUUCCGCUUUACCUCCCCAAGAGAGCCUGAGAUCUGCCCUUGGUUAGAAAGAAGAGGCUCGUUUCGUCCUAGUUUCUGUGGCACUGGCCACCGAGCAGUUUGCGACUGUUUCAGUUUUUCUGGAGUCUUUAAUCAGCCCAUAUUUUAGUUGGGCUUUGGAGAUCUGCUGACUUGUAAGAAUACCAGGAAAAAGGCUCUCAUUGAAAAUUUAUCCACAUCUACACUCGAAAAAUAUAAAUGGGCAUGGAUUAGAGAUCCACUUUAAUUUGCAUAUAUCAUCAGCAAUUCAUUGUGCAUGGUUGGCAUGACUUGUUAGAUGCUCUCCUUGGCCGUGGUGGAGAACGCGCGUUUAUUUUCUAUUAAAACUUCCUGUUACACCUUG
This 575-nucleotide long non-coding RNA is filed under the name Homo sapiens (human). RNAcentral describes it as "HSALNT0370081". Lineage: Eukaryota; Metazoa; Chordata; Mammalia; Primates; Hominidae. The record is from RNAcentral.